Humulus lupulus (European hop) is the source of this 336-nucleotide long non-coding RNA. RefSeq lists it as uncharacterized. The record is from RefSeq and is a predicted model, not a curated record. The transcript is spliced from 4 exons. NCBI's taxonomy places the organism in Eukaryota, Viridiplantae, Streptophyta, Magnoliopsida, Rosales, Cannabaceae.
UUUAGCUCUUGUUCAUGAUGUUUGAAGCAUUAUGGUAAUUUUCAAGAAUCUUUUGAAUCUGCCAAAACAAUUUCGGCCCCUGCAUCCAAGACCCUUUCGAAAGUGGGUAAAUCCACUUCUAAUGGUGUUUUGAAGCAUGGAAGAAAAGUAGCAUCUUCUAGAACUGUUGGUACGAAGGCUUUGAGGUCAGAAUCAAUUAUGUCCAUUCAAGAUAUAGCAGUUCAAUCGCAGGCUUUACUAAAUGUUAAAGAUUCCAAUAAGGAGGAUAGGGAAAGAUUGGUAGUAAGGAGGUUUAAGUUUGAAGAUCCACAGAUAGAACAAAUUCAAAACCUUGAG